GGUCUGAUUCAUUGUUUUUUUCCUGAUGAACAUUGAAAAAAUAGUGAAGGCACUGUAUGGGAGUAUACCUUCCUGACAAUGCUACUUUUCCACUGAAGACCAAGGUCAACUUUCCAGACUUCUCACAAUCUCUCAGAAACAAUAACCUCUUGAGAUAUUGUGGGAGGAACUUGGAUGUUGUCAGUGCUGAAUGUCACUGAAUGUGCUAAGGUAAACAUUGGUCAGAGGGCCCCUUCAGUCUACUGGAUGUUGCUUUUCUUGUAUAAUGAAUUUGAAAAUGGAAAAGGUUGUGGAGAUGCUGUGAAGAACUAAUGAGGGACAGACAGGUCUUAGACUUAAGCUUGGACUGUGUGUGAAGAUACAGACAGUACAUCCUCUGUUCUGUACCAUAAAGCUGGGGUAUCUGUACAUACUACUGUGGCAAGCAGCCAAAAAUGCAAUCUUUCUCAUAUGUGAUGACCUAGUUGGAUCUACAGUAUAAGUCAGCAUGAAUAGGAG
This is a long non-coding RNA of Oxyura jamaicensis (ruddy duck), 498 nucleotides long. RefSeq lists it as uncharacterized. NCBI's taxonomy places the organism in Eukaryota, Metazoa, Chordata, Aves, Anseriformes, Anatidae. The record is from RefSeq and is a predicted model, not a curated record. The transcript is spliced from 3 exons.